RNAcentral lists this ribosomal RNA (497 nucleotides) under uncultured bacterium. RNAcentral's name for it is "partial 16S ribosomal RNA". It matches the Rfam family "Bacterial small subunit ribosomal RNA", at positions 28 to 507 of the family's 1533-position model. The record is from RNAcentral.
GAUGAACGCUGGCGGCGUGCCUAACACAUGCAAGUCGAGCGGACGGACGAGAAUCUUGCUUCUCUGAUGUUAUCGGCGGACGGGGGAGGAACACGUAGCUAACCUACCUAUAAGACUGAGAUAAGGUCGGAGACCGGGAGCUAAUACCGGAUAAUAUUUUGAACCGCAUGGUGCAAAAGUGAAAGACGGUCUUGCUGUCACUUAUAGAUGGAUCCGCGCUGCAUUAGCUAGUUGGUAAGGUAACGGCAUACCAAGGCCACGAUGCAUAGCAGACGUGAGAGGGUGAUCGGCCACACUGGCACUGAGACACGGUCCAGACUCCUACGCGAGGGAGCAGUAGGGAAGCUUCCGCAAUGGGAGAAAGCCUGACGGAGCAACGCCGAGUGAGUGAUGAAGGUGUUCGGAUUGGAAAACUCUGUUAUUAGGGACGAACAUAUGUGUAAGUAACUGGGCACAUCUUGACGGUACCUAAUCAGAAAGCCACGGCUAACUACGUG